UGGGGAAUAUUGCACAAUGGGCGCAAGCCUGAUGCAGCCAUGCCGCGUGUAUGAAGAAGGCCUUCGGGUUGUAAAGUACUUUCAGUCGGGAGGAAGGUGGUAAGGUUAAUAACCUUAUCAAUUGACGUUACCGACAGAAGAAGCACCGGCUAACUCCGUGCCAGCAGCCGCGGUAAUACGGAGGGUGCAAGCGUUAGUCGGAAUUACUGGGCGUAAAGCGCACGCAGGCGGUUGAUUGAGUCAGAUGUGAAAUCCCCGGGCUUAACCCGGGAAUUGCAUCUGAUACUGGUCAGCUAGAGUCUUGUAGAGGGGGGUAGAAUUCCAUGUGUAGCGGUGAAAUGCGUAGAGAUGUGGAGGAAUACCGGUGGCGAAGGCGGCCCCCUGGACAAAGACUGACGCUCAGGUGCGAAAGCGUGGGGAGCAAACAGG
Molecule: ribosomal RNA, 429 nt
Filed under: Chloroflexota bacterium
Lineage: Bacteria; Bacillati; Chloroflexota
Description: Chloroflexi bacterium partial 16S ribosomal RNA
Rfam family: Bacterial small subunit ribosomal RNA
Source: RNAcentral